ACCAGGUAUGGUGGUGCAUGCCUGUAAUCCCAGAAACUUGGGAGGCUGAGACAGGAGGAUCACAAGUUCGAGGCCAGCUUGGGCAAUUUAGCAAGAUCCUAUCUCAG
RNAcentral lists this small RNA (107 nucleotides) under Marmota monax (woodchuck). Lineage: Eukaryota; Metazoa; Chordata; Mammalia; Rodentia; Sciuridae. The record is from RNAcentral.